CCAGACUCCUACGGGAGGCAGCAGUGGGGAAUAUUGCACAAUGGGGGGAACCCUGAUGCAGCAAUGCCGCGUGGGUGAAGAAGCACUCCGGUGCGUAAAGCCCUGUCAGCAGGGAAGAAAAUGACAGUACCUGACCAAGAAGCCCCGGCUAACUACGUGCCAGCAGCCGCGGUAAUACGUAGGGGGCAAGCGUUAUCCGGAUUUACUGGGUGUAAAGGGUGCGCAGGUGGCAGGGCAAGUCAGAUGUGAAAGCCCGGGGCUCAACCCCGGUAUUGCAUUUGAAACUGUCCGGCUAGAGUGCAGGAGAGGUAAGCGGAAUUCCUAGUGUAGCGGUGAAAUGCGUAGAUAUUAGGAGGAACACCAGUGGCGAAGGCGGCUUACUGGACUGUAACUGACACUGAGGCACGAAAGCGUGGGGAGCAAACAGGAUUAGAUACCCCAGUA
This 444-nucleotide ribosomal RNA is filed under the name uncultured bacterium. RNAcentral describes it as "bacterial SSU rRNA". It matches the Rfam family "Bacterial small subunit ribosomal RNA", at positions 331 to 792 of the family's 1533-position model. The record is from RNAcentral.